This 292-nucleotide ribosomal RNA is filed under the name uncultured bacterium. RNAcentral describes it as "partial 16S ribosomal RNA". It matches the Rfam family "Bacterial small subunit ribosomal RNA", at positions 505 to 796 of the family's 1533-position model. The record is from RNAcentral.
GUGCCAGCCGCCGCGGUAAUACGGAGGGUGCAAGCGUUAAUCGGAAUUACUGGGCGUAAAGCGCACGUAGGCGGUUCGUUAAGCCAGCUGUGAAAUCCCCGGGCUCAACCUGGGAAUUGCAGUUGGAACUGGCGGGCUAGAGUACAGUAGAGGGGUGUGGAAUUUCAGGUGUAGCGGUGAAAUGCGUAGAUAUCUGAAGGAACAUCAGUGGCGAAGGCGACACCCUGGACUGAUACUGACGCUGAGGUGCGAAAGCGUGGGGAGCAAACAGGAUUAGAUACCCUAGUAGUCC